Molecule: long non-coding RNA, 242 nt
Organism: Apis dorsata (giant honeybee)
Lineage: Eukaryota; Metazoa; Arthropoda; Insecta; Hymenoptera; Apidae
Exons: 3
Source: RefSeq, a predicted model, not a curated record
AAUAAUCGGUCGAAUAGCAAUAAUAUUUUAAAAGAUACGUUAAAAAAUAAUCUACGACAAGCGUAAAGAGAAAUAAUCGUUUCAAGUAAAAGUAAGCCAUUCUACGAUUAUUCGUCACUAGGCUCAAAUAAGAAAAGUAAAGAAAAUGGACAAAUAGGUUCCGCAUGAGUUAAGCGAUACACAGAAAGUUGGAUGGAUAGAAAUAACCACCUGUUACUUCAAAGAAACCCACCAGGAUCCAU